This 285-nucleotide long non-coding RNA is filed under the name Elaeis guineensis (African oil palm). RNAcentral describes it as "long non-coding RNA (EGUI_LNC080524)". The record is from RNAcentral. Lineage: Eukaryota; Viridiplantae; Streptophyta; Magnoliopsida; Arecales; Arecaceae.
AUAGAGAGGAGUAGUCAUAUGAGAUUUAAGAGGCUAAGUCCAAAAGUCUGUGGCCACAGUAGUGUAAUUGAUGAAAAAUUUUUUUUAUAGAAGUCACAACUGGACUCAUAACUGGACUUAAGCUAAUCAAUCUAUCACAUGACUGAUGUUGAGGUUUGACGAUUUAUUCAUUACCUGUCAUCUAGUCGGGACUCACGAUAGAGGGACUAAAUCACACGUUAACUAUACCUAGAGGUUCAUUUCAGUUUUACUGAAUUGUCACUACAUACUGCUAGGUGUUCUAGU